CCAUCAUUUGCCCCAUUUCAACUUUUGGGAUGUCCAUAGACCAAGAAUGCAUGAUCUGAUUUGUGUAGAACUGGCCCGGAUCUAAUAACAUCCUCAGAUCAGAGGAACACAAGUCCCGUCGAAAGUAGUACAAACACGCGAAGCUUUAAGGUGUUCGUAUUUGACUAUCAACAUGGUUUCUAGAUUGUGAUAUACAUAUGUAUUUGGCCAGUAUCAGGAUUAUGAUCAUUGUUUUCUGUGAUUUAUUGGUUGGUAUACAGCUGACCCAGUUCAGCAGCGGAGGGAUGUAUAUGAAAAGACAACGAACCGCCGAACUUAUCAGUUGAGACGAAACGCGGCUCGGAGAGAUCAUAGCUUCUGAGUGACAACAACGAGGUGUUCCUGACACCCGUACAUAUGUCCAUCAGGACGACGCAGUUCCACCACAACGUGCACAGUCACAGAGACUCCUACCACAGCAGGGAAAGUUGGUCGAGACCUUCCACUGCAAGUCGGUGAGACGAGCUGCAUCGUUGGAGGAGCCGGAAUAGACGUCCGUGUGCCUUAUAAAGUCGGGAAGAAGGGAACCCAGAACAGCGCCGUCGACAGGAGGAAGGCAACGAGAGGAGAGUGCCAGACGAGCAGCAGAUCUAGAGCAGCCAAUCGAUUGCGCUGCUACAACCAUAGUAAACCUAAGACUAUUUAGAGAAUCACAGACUGGUUUUGAGUUGAUUUAUACCAUGACUAUGUAUUUUAAUGUACCAGGUAUACAUUGUAAAGUAGUAGUUGAUUGUACAUGUAUAUCAAAGAAGCGUAGAACAGCGACGAUGGACCGAAUCAAACCUGAGGUGGAUAUAGUAAUGGAGAAAGCCCCCAUUGGAAUAUCCAUUACAAUUAUUCUGUAUCCAACCUGUGACCGAAGUUAGCGGGAUCAGCAUUAUGUAGUAACGUCAAACACAGUCUCCCGUGCCCAGUGUACGGAAAACCAUGUCUCUGCGUUCUUCCUUUAUUCUAGCUGUGCUAGUCCUUGUCUUCAAAGUAGAAUCUAAACCACUUGAAAUCCAUUGCUUUCAUGACUUGUUUGAAAUAUGUGACUUAUUAACCUUUCAAAAUCAAACUUUACUUAAUAUGUAUCUAUAUAGCAGGUAUAACUGCCCUUCGGCGUAACACACCAGCUUCAAUUCCAAACGACAACCACCUGAAAGCACAUCACUUCUAUUUUAUAGAUAUCGACAUAAAACUGUGACAUAUUCGUCUUCAUUAUUUUUUUUUACCUCGUGGAAGCAUCUCAUCCCACAUUGCGAAAGUGAAGCGCAAAAGAUAUAAGCAAAAGCUAUGCUAUAUUUGUCUUUAUUGGUCUUCUUUAAAAGAUCUUAUUUUUCUACCUUUAAAAUCAUCUUAUUUUUCUAUCUUCAAAAUCAUCCUUUCUAUAGCUCCAAACGACAACCACUAGAAAGUAUUCCAUUCCAAAUUGUAAAAAGCACAAGCUUAUAUAGGAAAUAAAAGCUAGGACAUAUUGGUCUUUAUUAUAACAGUCAUAAGCAGGUGAAACAUCGUAACAAUCUGUAAGAGUGUACUGCCUAUGAUGUGCAGUCAUUCCCAGCUAUUUGAAAAGACCGUUCCCUUAAAUCAUUAAUCCUGACACAAAGAAUGCAUCAACAAA
Molecule: long non-coding RNA, 1642 nt
Organism: Branchiostoma floridae (Florida lancelet)
Lineage: Eukaryota; Metazoa; Chordata; Leptocardii; Amphioxiformes; Branchiostomatidae
Exons: 2
Source: RefSeq, a predicted model, not a curated record